RNAcentral lists this transfer RNA (85 nucleotides) under bacterium. Its description in RNAcentral is "tRNA-Leu". It matches the Rfam family "tRNA". Rfam says of the family: Transfer RNA (tRNA) molecules are approximately 80 nucleotides in length. Their secondary structure includes four short double-helical elements and three loops (D, anti-codon, and T loops). Further hydrogen bonds mediate the characteristic L-shaped molecular structure. tRNAs have two regions of fundamental functional importance: the anti-codon, which is responsible for specific mRNA codon recognition, and the 3' end, to which the tRNAs corresponding amino acid is attached (by aminoacyl-tRNA synthetases). tRNAs cope with the degeneracy of the genetic code in two manners: having more than one tRNA (with a specific anti-codon) for a particular amino acid; and 'wobble' base-pairing, i.e. permitting non-standard base-pairing at the 3rd anti-codon position. The record is from RNAcentral.
GGGGGAGUGGCGGAACGGGCAGACGCACGGGACUUAAAAUCCCGGGCCGUUAGGCGUGAGGGUUCGAGUCCCUCCUUCCCCACCA